CGUACGAGAGGAGGGUACUUCGGUCCCUUAGUAAAGUGGCGCGACGGGUGAGUAACGACGUGGGUAAUCUACCCUUCGGCGGAGGAUAACCAAGCGAAAGCUUGGCUAAUACUGCAUACGUCCCUGAGGUCGCGAGACAGCGAGGGGGAAAGCGGCGUCAGCCGCACCGGAGGAUGAGCCCGCGGCCCAUUAGCUAGUUGGUGGGGUAAUGGCCCACCAAGGCAUCGAUGGGUAGCUGGUCUGAGAGGAUGAUCAGCCACACUGGGACUGAGACACGGCCCAGACUCCUACGGGAGGCAGCAGUGGGAAUUUUGCGCAAUGGGCGGAAGCCUGACGCAGCAACGCCGCGUGUGUGACGAAGGCCUUAGGGUUGUAAAGCACUGUUGAGAGGGAAGAACAAACGGGCUUAAUUACCCGUCCUGACGGUACCUCUUUAGAAAGCACUGGCUAACUCCGUG
This 458-nucleotide ribosomal RNA is filed under the name uncultured bacterium. Its description in RNAcentral is "bacterial SSU rRNA". It matches the Rfam family "Bacterial small subunit ribosomal RNA", at positions 63 to 507 of the family's 1533-position model. The record is from RNAcentral.